RNAcentral lists this ribosomal RNA (497 nucleotides) under uncultured bacterium. Its description in RNAcentral is "partial 16S ribosomal RNA". It matches the Rfam family "Bacterial small subunit ribosomal RNA", at positions 28 to 507 of the family's 1533-position model. The record is from RNAcentral.
GAUGAACGCUGGCGGUGUGCCUAAUACAUGCAAGUCGAGCGAACAGACGAGGAGCUUACUCCUCUGACGUUAGCGGCGGACGGGUGAGUAACACGUGGAUAACCUACCUAUAAGACUGGGAUAACUUCGGGAAACCGGAGCUAAUACCGGAUAACAUGUUGAACCGCAUGGUUCAACAGUGAAAGACGGUCUUGCUGUCACUUAUAGCUGGAUCCGCGUCGCAUUAGCUAGUUGGUAAGGUAACGGCUUACCAAGGCAACGAUCGGUAGCCGACCUGAGAGGAGGGCCAGCAAAACGGGAGCAGAGGCACGGACAAGAGUCCGACGGGGGGCAGCAGUGGGGAAUAUUACAGAAUGGGCGCAAGCCUGAUGAAGCAAUGAUGAGUGAAUGAAGAAGGCAUUCGGGUCGGAAAGUAUGGUAAGAGGGAAAGAAGGAAGUAAAGUUAAAACAUUUGCUCAUUGACGUUACCCGAAGAAGAAGCACCGGCUAACUCCGUG